UACACGUUUUGGAACUUCAUCCCAAAGAAUAUGUUCGAGCAGUUCAGAAGAGUUGCCAACUUCUAUUUUCUCGUCAUAUUUUUGGUUCAGCUGAUCAUCGACACUCCCACAAGUCCAAUCACCAGUGGACUCCCGCUUUUCUUUGUCAUCACAGUCACCGCCAUUAAGCAGGGUUAUGAAGACUGGUUGAGACAUAAAGCAGACAAUGCCGUCAACAAGUGUCCUGUCCAUGUGGUGCAGGAUGGGAAAGUGACCUGCAAGCAAAGUCGCAAGCUCAGGGUCGGGGAUGUGGUUUUUGUAACAGAAGAUGAGACUUUUCCGUGUGAUCUCAUUCUUCUAUCCUCGUCUCGGGACGACGGGACGUGUUUUGUUACCACAGCCAGCCUGGAUGGUGAGAGCAGCCACAAGACCUACUAUGCAGUUCAGGACACCAAAGCUUACAAAACGGAGGAGGAGGUCAGCUCCAUACAUGCCACWAUAGAGUGUGAACAACCUCAGUCGGAUCUGUACAAAUUUGUGGGUCGUAUUAAUAUCUAUAUGAACAAUGAGCCAGUGGCCAGGCCGUUGGGAUCAGAGAACCUGCUGCUCCGAGGAGCYACACUCAAGAACACUGAAUAUAUUUAUGCUGUUGCCAUCUACACUGGUAUGGAAACCAAGAUGGCUCUCAACUAUCAGUCCAAGUCUCAGAAACGAUCUGCAGUGGAGAAGUCGAUGAAUGACUACCUGGUGGUCUACCUGUGUAUCCUCAUCAGCAAAGCCAUCAUCAACACGGCGCUGAAGUACGUUUGGCAGGCCGAUCCGAACAGAGACGAGCCCUGGCACAAUGAGAGGACGGAAGCCGAGAGGCAGAGACACAUCCUGAUCAGGGCGUUCACCGACUUCCUGGCAUUCAUGGUCCUCUUCAAUUACAUCAUUCCUGUCUCCAUGUACGUCACCGUGGAGAUGCAGAAGUUUCUGGGCUCCUACUUCAUCUUGUGGGACGAUGAGAUGUUCGACGAGGAGCUGGGGGAGAGAGCGGUCGUCAACACGUCGGACCUGAACGAGGAGCUGGGACAGGUGGAAUAUGUUUUUACAGACAAGACGGGGACUCUGACAGAGAACAAUAUGGAGUUUAUAGAGUGCUGUGUGGACGGACAUGUUUAUGUGCCUCAUGCCAUCUGUAAUGGACAGGUGAUGCCUGGUUCUGACACCAUUGACAUGAUCGACACGUCUCCAGGACCCGAUGCCAGGGAUCGUGAGGAGCUGUUCUUCCGCGCCGUGUGUCUGUGCCACACGGUGCAGGUGAAGGAAGAGGAGACAGUGGACGGAAUUAAACACGGCAUCCACCAGGGCAAGUCCUCCUCCUUCUACAUCUCCUCCUCUCCUGACGAGGUGGCCCUGGUGGAGGGGAUGAAUAGACUUGGCUUCACCUAUCUGAGGCAGAAAGACAGUCAUAUGGAAAUCUUAAAUAGGGACGAUAAGGUAGAAAGAUUCGAGGUGCUAGAAGUUUUGUCUUUUGAUUCGGUGAGACGAAGAAUGAGUGUCAUCGUCAGGUGCAGCACAGGUGAAGUGUAUCUGUUCUGUAAGGGUGCAGACUCCUCCAUCUUCCCCAGAGUUAUCUCAGGCAAGGUGGAUCAGGUCAAGGCACGGGUGGAGCACAACGCAGUGGAAGGCCUGAGGACGCUCUGUGUUGCUUAUCGGUGCCUGAGCCCUGAACAGUACCAGGAGGUCUGCCAUCUGCUGAGCAGGGCCAAGUUGGCGCUGCAGGACCGAGACAGACAGCUGGCCGAGGCUUACGACCUCAUCGAGAAAGACCUGAUACUGCUGGGAGCUACUGCUGUGGAGGACAGGCUGCAGGAGAAAGCAGCCGACACCAUUGAGUCCCUCCACAAAGCUGGCAUGAAGGUGUGGGUGCUGACCGGAGAUAAGAUGGAGACCGCAUCUGCUACGUGCUACGCCAGCAAGCUGUUUCGCCGCAACACCCAGAUCCUGGAGCUGACCACCAAGCGCACGGAGGAGCAGAGCCUUCACGACGUCCUGUUUGACCUGAGCAGGACAGUGCUCAGGCAUUACGGGGGKAUGACGCGAGAAACCUCCUCUGGUUUAUCUGACGACUACACCGACUUUGGCCUGAUAAUCGACGGAGCCACCCUCACGGCAGUUAUGAGACCAGGCCAGGAGGGCUCCAACUCAGGGAACUACAAAGAGCUCUUCCUAGAUAUCUGCCGCAACUGCAGCGCCGUGCUCUGCUGUCGAAUGGCGCCGCUUCAGAAAGCGCAGAUCGUCAAGAUGAUCAAAACAUCCAAAGAACAUCCGAUCACUCUCGCUAUUGGAGACGGUGCUAAUGAUGUCAGCAUGAUCCAGGAGGCCCAUGUUGGCAUCGGUAUCAUGGGUAAGGAGGGUCGUCAGGCRGUUAGAAACAGCGACUACGCCAUCCCAAAGUUUAAACACCUCAAAAAGAUGCUGCUGGUCCACGGACACUAUUACUACAUACGAGUCUCUGAGCUUGUGCAAUACUUCUUCUACAAGAAUGUCGUUUUCAUCUUCCCACAGUUCCUCUACCAGUUCUUUUGUGGCUUCUCCCAACAGCCUCUCUAUGACACCGCCUACCUGACUCUCUACAACAUCAGCUUCACCUCGCUGCCCAUUCUCCUCUACAGCCUCAUCGAGCAGCACAUUAAUGCCGACAUUCUGAAGAAGGAUCCCUCUCUUUAUAAAGAUAUUGCAAAGAACUCCUUGCUGAAGUGGUCCAGCUUUAUUUACUGGACUGCCCUGGGUAUAUAUGAUGCCAUUGUGAUGUUCUUUGGUGCUUACUUCCUGUUUGACAACACAACUUUUACCAGCAAUGGACAGCUAAUGACAACCAACACACAGAUGAUGUUUGGAAACUGGACAUUUGGGACUUUGGUCUUCACUGUGCUCGUCUUCACUGUUACUUUCAAGCUGGCUCUAGAUACACAUUACUGGACCUGGAUCAACCAUUUUGUCAUCUGGGGGUCGCUACUUUUCUUCGUGGUUUUCUCUCUACUUUGGGGAGGAAUCAUCUGGCCUUUUCUGAACUACCAGAGGAUGUACUACGUGUUCAUGCAGAUGUUGUCCAGCGGUCCUGCCUGGCUCAGUAUAAUCCUCCUGAUAACGACCUGCCUGCUGCCAGAUGUGGUGAAGAAGGUCAUCUGCAGGGCGCUGUGGCCCACCACCACUGAACGCAUCCAGAARGCUGACAAACUUUACAAGGGCCAGCUGUCGGAGUUCACCCCGCUGGCGUCCCUCCACCACCAACCGAAGGCCGGCGGCCUCCAGCGAGGCUCGGAAAACCAAAGGAACGCCGCACACCCCCGAAGGUCUGACACCCCCAUCAAGAAAGUCAUGUACACACGCUGGCAGAGAUCAACAAAUUACUGCACCUUCACCCCACUCCCGCUGUUCGCAAAUGGCUCAAAGCGGGACAGUGCUUACGGUGGGGCGGAAUCAGAAACCUCCGUUUGAUUUUUUUUUUAAAUUAAUUAUUUUGCUGUUUUCCCAUCAUUUAUUUUUGGAGAUAUUCUCAAUUGGAGCGAAACUGAACAAAAAGAAGUUCAGGCAUGUUGUGGAGGUGCCUGGGAACCUCCCCUUACUGAGCUGGAGUUGAACAACAGCCUGAGUUUUUGGACAGCAGGGGAUCUUUUUCAGGCUGCUACCAGUGAAGUGUGGCACAAUGCAUCAUGGGACGGAUUUCCAACCAUCCRGCAUCUCCACGACUCCUAAAGGGCUCAGUGUAUUUACAUCACCACAGUCUGAAAAACUGAUUUUAGUGCUAAAAUACACGCUCUGGUCCAUUUUACAAUCAUUUGCCUUCAGCGGCUGCUAAAGUGUUCUAUAACUUUUAUCAUUUUUUUACGUUUACGUGAUGGUGUUGAGGCUGGAAUGACGAUGAUGAUGGUGAACAAACACGUUCUUGUUUUCUGCUCACGUCUCUCAUGUCUCAUUUCUGUCUGCCUGCUUUGCCUCUUGUAGGACCAACCGGUGUUGCCUGUGUGCAAACAUGUUGUCCCGAAACGCUCCGUAGGACUCGGCCCUCACAUCACUCAGUCUCUCUUUUGUUCACGCUCCUUCUGCUGAUGUGAUGUGGAAGGUCUCCAUCAUCAUCAUCAUCGUCAUCAUCAUCACCAUCACCAUCUAGUCAUCUUUCCUUCCUGCAUCUUUUACGUAACCCCAUCUCUCCAUCCACCAUGAGACAGAGCAGAAACUCUUUAAUAGUACCUCUAUGAACCAAAGCCUUGUUGCUGCUACAGUAGAGAUACUUUUAGCUGCUUGACAUUAGGUGCCUUGUGUUAGUCUGUUACAUGUUAAAUCGCUUUACGGUGAAUUUACUACUUUUAGGGAGCGUUUAAACGGGACGAAGGCUCUGCAGUUGAUGGAUGCACUGGGAGGAGAYUGGAAACAAAAUAAUGAAUGUAAAAAAAACGUGUUGCUGUGGAUUGUUGUCAUGGGCUUUAAACAAGUAGAAAAUGAUGCGCAGUCGAUCAAAUCUACACAAAAACAUGACAAACUUCAGUUUGUUUUUUGAUUUUAUAUUUUUGUUACAGAUGUUUGUUUUUGAAAUGUGGUUUCUAGUUGUUUAAGAGAAGUCUUUGCUGCUACAAAGUGGGAUUUUUCUUUUACUUCAAAAAACAAAACCGUGAGGAUAGUUCAGAUCUUUGAAGUGGUCUUGUGUAAUUUGGACACAUUUGUUUCAUUCUGACUGGAUUGAUGAGCUGAUGGCUGAUCUGACCAAAGUGGAUUGCAAGGAUGUAUAAAACUCGACUUUCACAUCACAUGUGUCUGACAAAAAGUGGUGGCGGCAGCAGCUAGCUCUGGCAUCUAUAGCAUGAUUAUCAUAAUAUUUCUGCUAGAAUAACCACAUCAUGUUUUCUAACUCAGCGUUUACAUGACCCAGCAUGAUGAUGUUUGAGAUUAGAGCUUCCAUAAAAUUGCACUAAUUGUUUGGUCCAAAUUCUGCUGUUAUUUCUUCAAAUGAGUUUAUUCAAAGAGCUAUCUACAGCAGGUAAGAUAUUUAUUGUUCAUAACAUUUGCACGACUUGUCUUCAGAAGAUCUGAGCUAAAGGUCUAUAAUGUUUUAGACAACUUCUAAAAAUUUAGUCCAACACUGAAAGUAGGAUAAAAAAUCUACUUGAAGACACUUUUGAAUGUUCACAUAUUAAUACAAGUAAUUCUGCUAGUGGUGUCCCAAUACCAGCAUUUUUACAAGUACUAAAAUGCCCCAGUACUCAAAAGGAUUCCAAUACCAGCAUCGAUACUGGGAUUUUGGUAUCAGUAUUUUCAUGGUUAACUUCCACUUCAAGUGAAAAGUUCCAGUUCCAUGUUUAAGAAAGCGAAUAUUACGCUAUUUUUAUUUAUUUAAAUAUUUUACAACAGUAUGUAUACAUGCUGUGWAUUUCAUUUGAUCCAGUUAGAGGGGCUGUAGGUCUAUAAGGAAGGAGAGCCACCUUGUUCUAAAUAAAAUAAAUGUGUUUUCAAAGUCACUGUGUAACAUUUAAGUUACCCAAACUGAAGUACUCGUACAUGGUUUGAGAAAAACUGGUAUUGGGACACCCCUAAUUUACACAAAACAUAAUUUUCCRAAGUCAGCAUUUGUCUAAAAUGUUACAGUGAGACGGCCUUUUACCCUUUAGUGAGCAGAUGAUUCUUCAAAACGUUUGCUUUAAUCCAAAGUUCCAAACUUGGAUUAAUAAAAUCACGUGUAAAUGUGACAAGUUUAAUUGUCUUUAAAGUUGUUAAAAUAGGAAAAACCUACCGGAGCUUUAGCUGCAGUUUUUUAACUGGACAAACAGGAACACAUUUACUGUAUAUUACGUCAGACAGCAACUAAACUUUUUGCUUUCAGUUUAGGAGCAAAGCUUCAACCGAAAGAGUUUAUUGUCAGAAACAAUUAGACAGUUUAAAUAGAAAAUUAACAGCCAGGUUUUUAUGUGUUGAACCUGYGAGAGUGUUGGCACUUAAAUCCUUUGGAAAAGAGUUUAGUUCUGUUUGUAUGCACUUCAAUUGUUUUGUAUUUUUACUUUUUGGGACAGUAUUUUUCUGUGAUGAAACAACACUGGACACGUCUGAGUUACUUGACGUACGGAGAGCUUCACYRGUUGUAAAGAAGUCUGUUUCUGUGGUGUUUGCUGCUGUUUAACCUGCACUGAGCAGUUGUGUGAGGAAUGACACGUUGCUGUAGAAACACUCAAAGCCAUGAAUCGUGGAUUUUAGGGGUUUUGUUGUUUCUGUUAGCAACGUGUUACUGUAAAGUACACGUCCUGUAAUCAGCACUAUCUACACUCAGARGCAGUAUCUACAUGUAUAAGAGCAGCAUAUAUGGAUAUAUAUUUAGGCUUAUUAUUGUACAGUUUUGGGGUCUUUUUAUAUACAGUUUUUAAUGGAAUCAUAUCAAGAUUUACUUAUGGAUUUUUGCCAAUUUUUUUUCUUUUAGCUACAAACAGCAAACGAUUGUAUAUUUGCUUGAAAUAAAAACCAGGAGUGUAAAUAUGAAA
Austrofundulus limnaeus is the source of this 6491-nucleotide RNA transcript. It is a transcript of the gene named probable phospholipid-transporting ATPase IH, with no coding region annotated. The record is from RefSeq and is a predicted model, not a curated record. Lineage: Eukaryota; Metazoa; Chordata; Actinopteri; Cyprinodontiformes; Rivulidae.